AUACAACAGACAAGAACUAAUUUUGUCCUACCUACAUGACUAGUUUCUUCCUUUUCAUUUUCCUGGCACAUUUAGCCCAGUAAAGAGCUAAUUAAAGUCCUUCCCAUUUCUUAGGGUUGCUUGUCUUCCCUGUAGCACAUCUUGCCCUGCUUCUCUGCUUGGCUUCACAUUGCAGCUGGGUACGAAGACGUCAGAGAUUGUCUCCCACAUACUUGGAGGCGCCAGCUACUGUAUUUCUAGUCUCUCUCACUGACAACUGUGUCUGAGAUUUUUCUAGUCUCUCCCAUGUCUCUGCAGGAGCCAACUAUAUAUCUCAGAGUAGGUCUUUUGCUCAGCAAUUAGAAUGCUGGAUUGGGAGAGACAGAAAAGGACAGCUAUGUGUCCUUUAGGACACACCACAUCACCACCCCAAAGUGUAAGAUAUUUUAUUUGCAAGAAGCAAUUUUUUUCCUUUGGUUAUCUCAAGUAAUUCAUUCUUAGGGCAGUAUUUUUAAGGAUCUAUUAUAUGCAAGGCACUGUAUUUCUUCUGGUGGAAAGACAGGGGAAGAAGUCUCAGGCAAAGGAAAUAACACAAGGGAGUUUUUGAAUGGGAUGGACUUUGACCAGCCAAGGAACUGGAAGCACAUUGGUGUGGCAGGAACAUGACAGGCAAGAGGAAGAUGGAGAAUGGACAGAGACUGCUGCAAGUUCCUGGUGUCAGGACAGAGAAAGAACUCACAAGGAGGGCAGGCAUGGUGAACAUCAUCUCCAGUGGUCAUGCCUUUUACUGAUGGGAUCACUGAGACUGGGGACUGGGGACUGAGAGCCUGCAGGCCAAAUCCGACCUGCUAUCUGCUUUUGUAUGAACUAAGUAUUGUCAUUAUGUUGAGGGCCACAGCCG
RNAcentral lists this long non-coding RNA (880 nucleotides) under Marmota monax (woodchuck). Lineage: Eukaryota; Metazoa; Chordata; Mammalia; Rodentia; Sciuridae. The record is from RNAcentral.